Molecule: long non-coding RNA, 1543 nt
Organism: Ailuropoda melanoleuca (giant panda)
Lineage: Eukaryota; Metazoa; Chordata; Mammalia; Carnivora; Ursidae
Exons: 3
Source: RefSeq, a predicted model, not a curated record
CCUCGGCCCGCGUGUGACUCAGCCUGGAAGCUGGACCAGAUGGUGGGAGAGUUGGAGAUUAGCACUGCCAGGGGUUGCUCAGAGCAGCUGCCUAACUGCAAAGGUCAAGGCUGGAACCCACCCUGAAUGAAGAGCAGAGAUGUGCCUUGUAUUUCUUGGUAUCUCGUGAUGAAAUGAAGAAAUGUUGUGUCCAAGGGGGGCAAGCACAGGAUGCUCACGGCAGCAGUGUUCCUAAUGAUAAAAAAAUCGGAAGCAACCUAACUGCCCAACCAUAGGGGACUGAAGAAGAAUUUGUGCGUAUUCCUAUUACAGAAUAUUAAGCAGCAGGCUAAAGAAGGCAACAGAGCUCGAAGUACUGACGUGGAAAGAUCCAUGACAGGUUACAGAGGGGAAAAAAGCAAGUUGCAGAACAACACAUGCGCUGUUCUUGCCUCCCGCAGAUAUUUACGGAGCGCUGCUCUACGCCCAACACCGUCCUAGGCACUGGGACUACAGCCGUGAACCAAGCAAACUCCCUACCCUAGCUGAGUAAUGUCCUACCUAGGGGGGAUGGUAAAGGCAAGGGGAAAAUGUUAUGUCAGGCGUGAUAAGUACAAUCGAAAAGUAUAUGACGGGAGAUGUUUUCCCAUUUUUGUAAAAAGCAUCGCCACAAAAUAAUACUAUGUGUGUUCUGUGGGUAUUGAUUUAUGUAGAUAACAGCACAGGAAAAGGUCUGCAAGGAAGCACCCCAAACUGCUGACCCUGUUAUUCCGCAGGGGACGGUGGAUGCCGGAGGGUGACCCCACAGAUUACUUGGGUGCUGGAAAGUUCAUAGUAGCAAGCGGCUGGAGGCCUCACACAGUGCUGGGGGAAUUAGAAAAUGGUACAACCACCUUGGAAAACUGUUGGCAACUUCUGAUCAAAGUUAAACGUGACUGGGCAAUCCCCCUUCUAAGGUGUUUGCUUAAGAAGAAUGAACACUUCGGUCCACACGCAGAUUUGUCCGACGAUGUUUAUAAUGACUUUAUGCAUAAUGGCCCCAAAGUGGAGACCCAGGGUGACUGGGUGACUGUGUUGUACCUCCACGCGCUAGAGCACUACUCAGCAAAGAAAAGCAACGAGCUACUGGCACUUAGAUGAACCCAAAAGCAUUUUGCUGAGUGAAAGAAAGAGGCCAGGCACAAAAGAACACAUACCAUCUGAUUCCAAUUCUAUGACAGGCAAAACCAAUCUACCAUUGCUAGAAACAGAAGGAUGAUUGCCUGGGGGUGGGGGAUUGUGGGUUGACUGGAAGGGACCUGAGGGACUUUUUGGGGAUGAUGGAAAUGUUCCAGAUCUUGACUGGCGGGGAAUACACAUGGUGUGGGCAUUUGUCAAAAUUCACUGAAUCAUACGCUUCAGAUCUGUGCAUUUCACUAUACGUAUUUCCUACCUUAAAAAUAAUAAAAUAACCACCAGAGCUUGGGGGAGACGCCUCUGACAUGUUAGGAGUGUUUAUUUCCAAAUGGUGGAAAUAUAGGUGAUUUUCAUUUUCUCCUAUAUGCUCAUCUGGGUUUUUCCAAGG